Long non-coding RNA from Rosa chinensis, 912 nucleotides. RefSeq lists it as uncharacterized. NCBI's taxonomy places the organism in Eukaryota, Viridiplantae, Streptophyta, Magnoliopsida, Rosales, Rosaceae. The record is from RefSeq and is a predicted model, not a curated record. The transcript has 2 exons.
UCCCAGUCGGUUGCAUGGGAAUGCACUAAGGCCUACAAACUUGGUCAAACCGAUUGAUAUGAUUUCAAAUUUAAAUUGGAGUCAUCUUUGACUCUAACUAAUUCAUUACUUCUCUAUAAAAAAGAAAUAUAGAGAGCAUAAAAAGGGGGAGGCAGCAGAGAGGAGGAGAAAACGCUAUACAGCAGAACAAAAGAAAUACAAAGAAGUGGAAACACACGAGAGAAGAAGCCACCAGAGAAAGAAAGAGAAAAGCUACAGUCUUCCCAUGCCUGUCAAAUUGAUGGUGUUGCUGCCUCAGAUGCUCAAGCAUUGAAACAAGAGUGGUUGUUCAUGAACAGCCAAGUUUCAUGCUCAAAACUCCUCCGAAACGGGGCUGCUCCUACAAGAGUUAUUGCAUAAAAUUGGUUGUUCACGAACAACCAUUGAAGUGCUAAAAACUCCCUCCAAAAUGACACCCCAUGAUCGUCCUACCAAAACUUACAAGAACUAAGGUCGUUCGUGAACACGACGAAAGUUUUCUCCAUAGUCGGCCAAUGCUUUCAGUUGAUUGUUAUUUGAAGUUGACGAGAAGUUGUUGCUGAUCAUGACGCCACAAAGUGAACAAAUCUGCAGUCAAGUUGUUUUUGCACCAACAAGAAAUACAAAACUGUUGAUCUGCCCAUUGAAUACAGAGGCAAUGGUGAAGUGAGAUUUGGCGGUAGCAAAGCAACCAAGUCUGCACACCAAAAGAUUUGAAACCAAUUGUUAAUUGAACUUCUUUCUUUGUCCACGAAAGUAGUAAUUUAAUUAACAAAGAAGAUGAUAGAGGCAAGCUUAAUUGUAAAACUGGUGAAUGCUUGAAGCGGUGGUGACAGUCACAAUCACAACAAAACAUGGUGGCAAAUUUAAUUAAUGGAGCAGCCAUUUAGUUUU